RNA transcript from Fragaria vesca subsp. vesca, 755 nucleotides. RefSeq lists it as uncharacterized. The transcript is spliced from 3 exons. Lineage: Eukaryota; Viridiplantae; Streptophyta; Magnoliopsida; Rosales; Rosaceae. The record is from RefSeq and is a predicted model, not a curated record.
GUGUUAUUUGUUGCAAAGAGUAAUGGAAGCAGUGAACAAGGAGAAGACGGUUCUACCAAAACUGAAGAACUUGGUUUUGAUCGAUCUUCCUAAGUUGUAUAGUGCAAUUGCUGCCGUUGAUAUUGAAUGUCCUUCAUUGGAACGCUUGAUGGUGGUGGGAUGCCCCGAGGUUUUAUUUUCAACCUCUUCCGAUCUCUUCGGAGCCUUCAAAAGCAGGAACCAAUUUUCAUUUUCAGCCUCCACUUCUCACCCAGUCCAACUCAAUGAUCCACAAUUAUACAAAACUCUACGUGGCAGAGCAUCUUUGUGAAGUCUCUAGCUCAGCUUCUAACUUCCAUUGCCGGAAUUAACCAAGUUCAACUCUAUUUCUUUGUCCAGUAAAUUGAUUGUUGGACAAAUCCAGCACUCGGAUACUAGAUGAGAGAGAAAGUACUGGAAGCGCCCUAGAAACAAGGUUAGAGCUCAAAUCAAGAACCUCAAGAUGAGUCAAGGACAAGAAGGAAGCGACACUUUGAUGUAGGGAAUUUUGGGAGAGAUUCAAGUGGGUGAGAUGUGUGAGAUUUUCAAGUGCUAGUUUUGAUGAAGCAAAUGUAAUACCUUGUUUGAGUGUGAGGCCAUCGGAGGGCAAUGAGAUACGGGUGACCCAACCAGCCGCAUCGCAGUUGAUGCCUUGCCCAGUUUAAGGAAGAGGGAGAAGAAAGAGCCAGAGCGAAGGACAAGAGAGAAGUGUGUUCAGUUGGGUUGCAUACAUGGUU